This 363-nucleotide long non-coding RNA is filed under the name Physcomitrium patens. RNAcentral describes it as "long non-coding RNA (PPAT_LNC012049)". The record is from RNAcentral. Lineage: Eukaryota; Viridiplantae; Streptophyta; Bryopsida; Funariales; Funariaceae.
UGAUUAGGAUUUGGUUUAGGAUUUAGUAUUUAGUUUAGGAUUUAGGAUUUGAUUUAGGAUUUAGAAUUUGAUUAGGGUUUGAUUAAGGAUUUAGGAUUUGAUUAGGAUUUGAUUAAGAUUAGGGUUUGGUGAGGGUUUGGUUUAGGAUUUAAGAUUUAGGAUUUGGUUAGAAUUUUAUUUAAGAUUUAGAGUUUGGUUAGAGUUUGGUUUAGGAUUUAGAAUUUGAUUAGAAUUUGGUUAAGGAUUUAGGAUUUGGUUAAGGUUUGAUUUAGGAUUAAGGUUUGGUUAGGAGUUGAUUUAGGGUUUAGGAUUUGAUUAGGAUUUGAUUUAGGAUUUAAGAUUUUAAUAGGAUUUUUGAGGUAA